This 102-nucleotide small RNA is filed under the name Salmonella enterica. RNAcentral's name for it is "partial RtT sRNA". It matches the Rfam family "RtT RNA", at positions 31 to 130 of the family's 130-position model. Rfam says of the family: This family represents a bacterial cis-regulatory element known as RtT RNA. The exact function of RtT is unknown although it is thought that it may be involved in changing the cellular response in relation to amino acid starvation. The record is from RNAcentral. Lineage: Bacteria; Pseudomonadati; Pseudomonadota; Gammaproteobacteria; Enterobacterales; Enterobacteriaceae.
UUCGACUAAGGUUCGAUUCGAGCGAAAGCGAGAAAGCGUUGCCGCAGGCAACGACCCGAAGGGCGAAGCGCGCAGCGCUGAGUCAACCUUCCCCCACCACCA